GCGAGGUGCUUUUGGGAAAGCAAAGAAGAAGAAUCUUUGAAGCACUAGACGAAGGAGCCUUCAUAUAUAAAUCCGUCACCCCCAUUCAUUUCGAUGGGGGUGCUACGGGCGGAACCACCGGGUUGUAGCCCCCAGUGUAGUUAGGAAAGAUAAAAAUCUGGUGAACAUGUGCUCAAAUUCAAUUGGACCAUGGAUCAAAUGGCACAUUGAGGUAUUGUUCUUGGUUUUUAAAUAUUUCAAAGAGGUUAUAUAACUUGAGCAAACUGAUGAUAAGAUGUAGGUAGAGCUAGAAAAGACGGUUGGACAUGGGUGCACCCACAUUAUGCCGCAAAUAUGUUGUUGCAUCAUGAGGUAACUUGCAUCAUGUAACUUGUUUUUAAAAGACUAAUUGGACAAUUGCACUCAUGAAUUUCCUUUAAACUUC
Long non-coding RNA from Dendrobium catenatum, 424 nucleotides. RefSeq lists it as uncharacterized. The record is from RefSeq and is a predicted model, not a curated record. NCBI's taxonomy places the organism in Eukaryota, Viridiplantae, Streptophyta, Magnoliopsida, Asparagales, Orchidaceae. The transcript is spliced from 2 exons.